Neofelis nebulosa (Clouded leopard) is the source of this 426-nucleotide long non-coding RNA. RefSeq lists it as uncharacterized. Lineage: Eukaryota; Metazoa; Chordata; Mammalia; Carnivora; Felidae. The transcript has 2 exons. The record is from RefSeq and is a predicted model, not a curated record.
GAAUUUUUGGUUUACUUGGUUUUUUCCUGCCACUGGCCUGUCAAGUUCUUGAGGACCGAGUGGCUGCACCAGCUUGCAUUCCCAACAAAGCCACAUCUUUGAAGAGUGAACAGAGUUUAAGCCGAAGAGUCUGUACACAAACAUUUCUGCUUCUAGCUUUCAGGAUUGUAUGAAGCCCAUUUCUUUACAUGAGCCUACAAGGAUCCUGUGUUUUGAUUCAAAAAUAUGAACUCUUUAAAGCAUUCACCGCAUCAGUUCAAAAUGGAAAUAUGUGGCUCAACAGAAGCAAAAAAAUCACAGUUAUUUUCUUUUUUAAUCAAUAGAAGGCACAGUUAUAGUUACAAGAGUGGGUUUUGACUGCCAAGAAAGCCACUGUGAUCUCAAAAUGAGUUACAAGUAUAGAAUAAAAGAUAUACGAGUCCUGCA